RNAcentral lists this long non-coding RNA (1030 nucleotides) under Ananas comosus (pineapple). Its description in RNAcentral is "long non-coding RNA (ACOM_LNC008638)". The record is from RNAcentral. Lineage: Eukaryota; Viridiplantae; Streptophyta; Magnoliopsida; Poales; Bromeliaceae.
CUGGCUACUAUACCCUUAGAUUACGAACGCCUUCAUACUCAUAAAUUAUUUUCGAUGAUAGAGCUUCCGAAUCGACGAUCCACACCGUUAAACAUUAUCUAGAGCAUUUAAAAUGCCUAGAAAUCAAAUUUUAUAAUUUUUCGACAUCAUUUAUUAUGAUCAAAAGGUCAUAAAAUUGACAAUUUUUAACGGCUGGUAUGGAAUAUUUGCUAGUUUAAUGGGGUAAAAGAAUCAGAAUCGGUUAAAUUUUUGAUAGAAAAUUCUAUUUACUACAUAGAUAAAGAUCAAUAACUCCGAUUUUAUUGAAGGAUCCAAUCAUCCAUUUUUAAGACAUCGUUCGAUUUUGACCGUUCAUUUUAUACCCGCUUGAUGAACUUUAUUAUGAUUUCAAAAAAUUACAGAAUUUAUUUUCUAAAAGUUUCAAAUACUUUAAAUCAUAUUUAACGGAAUAGAUCGUCGAUUCAGAAGCUCUAUUAUUGAAAACAACUUAUGAGUACGAAGGGCUCUAUACUCAUAAGAGUAUAGUAGCCCUACUCUCUCUCUCUCUCUCUCUCUCUCUCUCUCUCUCUCUCUAUAUAUAUAUAUAGAGUCCGGCUACUAUACUAUUAUGAGUACGAUCGCCCUCGUACUCAUAUAGUUGUUUUCGAUGAUAGAGCUUCCGAAUCGACGAUCCACAUCGUUAAACGUUAUCUAGAGCAUUUGAAACAUCUAGAAAUCAAAUUUCAUAAUUUUUCGAAAUCAUUUACCUUACGAUCAAAAGCUCACAAAAUUGAUAAUUUUUAACGGCCGGUAUGGAAUACUUGCUAGUUUAACGGUGCAAAAGAAUCCGAAUAGGUUGAAUUUUUGAUAGAAAAUUCUAUUCACUUCCUAGAUAAAGAUCAAUAACUCCGAUCUUAAAUUGAAGGAUCCGAUCAUCCAUUUUUAAGACAUCGUUCGAUUUUGACUGUUCAUUUUAUGCCCACUUGAUGGACUUUAUUAUGAUUUCGAAAAAUUACGAAAUUUAUUUUCUAGAAGUCUCAAAUACUCUAGA